UCACCCACAAAACUCCACUCCUCACCUUAACCUAAACUUCUACUACUGCGGUAUACUCGUCUCUGAAACUUAGAAAGACAUCAUAUGAUCUGUUCUGUUCAUAUAUGGUGUUUUCUAAGUUUUAGAACCGGCAAUACUCGUAAAUCGGAUUCAAUCUACACACUGGAGCCAAGUUCCUGCUUCAUAUCUGAUGUAAUUUCAUCGCCUCUGAAGCUCAAAAACAUGUCGUCGACUACAUCGGUUCUUAAUCGUCUUGUUACAUGAUAUGUUUUUGAGUUUCGAGGCUAUGAUGUUGGUCAAUAAUCAUUCUUCUUUCCAGAUCUAACGGUUUCAUUAACUGAAACUGCUGGUCACGUGGUAUAGACGGAGAAACUGAAGUGUGUUGGUGUUUAAGCUGAUUUAAUAAGUAAUUUUUAUAUAACUUUAUUUUUAAACGGAGAAAUAAUAAAAGAAAACUUUUUAUGAUAUUGAUCUGCUUGACAAUGGACCAUAUUUCCAAAUGACAGGCUGAACUUCACUGAAUUAGAACAUAUGGACAAUCAUCAUCACUUAACUUAGUGUCAAUAUAAAUAAAACAAAUGCUGGGAACAAAUGAUCAUUUCAUUUGUCGUAAUUUUUAGAAGAGCGUAUAAAAUUAUAAAUUGCAACUAAAAAUGAUGAAAAAAAGAAUAGAUGGUGUUAAGAAACAGGCUGAUAAUAUCCCUGAAAUCAAGCUAGGUAGUAUAUGAGUGAUUUUAUGUUUUCAAGUUUCAACUAGGUAGUAUAUGACAAUUAAUUAUAACUAGAAUUAGUAUUGCGGCGGCGUUCAUACAUGUGCGCCGGCGUGGAGUGUGGCGUGGUUCUUACAUAUGCGCCGGGAGGACAAAGCAUUCGCUAACUUCGUAUAACUAGAUCUAUAAAAACACAUGCUUGUAGAAAAACUGCAAAACAUGCUAAAAACAUGACCCAUUUGUUACACAUGCCUAUUAUAUAAUUGUUGUUUGAAGUGAAGCAACUCGUCCUAUGAUGUUAAGUACUCUGCAGCGGAAAAAAGCAAGAAGAAAGCAACAUAAUCUCCGCAUAACUAAAACAAAAGAAAACGGCUUAACGAUAUUCAAAAAAGCAAUGGUUCCAAGCUCAAUAAAUAAUCCUGACCCGACCAAAACGACGACCGACCCGAAAAUUCUAUCGUUUGGGUGUAAAAGAUCCGAGUAUCGAAAAAACUGGACCACAUUGGAAAAAAAUCCUAUCGUUUGGGUGUGACACAUCCAUGAAGCCGAAUGUUAGUUACAUAAAGAAAGUUUGUUUGUGUCACAUCAAGCAAGGUAGAUACAAUAGUUGUACAAAAGAUUGGCGUUAAUACUUUGCAACAACUUCGAAAGUGCACCAUCCCAUUUGCAUAACUCUUCCACCUAAAUCUUCAAAAUGCCCUUCGUGAGCCUAAAAAGAAACUGGUUGCUGCUGUUUGAGAUAUGAACACCAAAAUCUUUAAUGUUUCUUUUGGUUUAUUUCAUUUGGACCACAAAAAACUUACAUGAUUAUAAGGUUGCAUACACGUCAUCAAAAAAGUUGUGAUCAUGAACUUCAUACUCGCAAUCUUUUUAAAUAUCCUGCAUUGUUAUGCCAUAAACAAAAUGUUGGGUUCCCAUUGAUGUGAACUGUAACGCUCUGCUUUAUCGUAACUUUCCUUAUUUAGAAAGCGUGUCUUGUAAUUCUAUUUUCGGAAAGACGUUUCUCUUGUAAUCGUAUCCUAUUUCGAAUCAUUGUAAAUCCGAGACUUGAUUAUAAUAAAAUUGAUCGUUUAUGUGAAAUAUACAUUGUUCGUA
Helianthus annuus (common sunflower) is the source of this 1805-nucleotide long non-coding RNA. RefSeq lists it as uncharacterized. The record is from RefSeq and is a predicted model, not a curated record. Lineage: Eukaryota; Viridiplantae; Streptophyta; Magnoliopsida; Asterales; Asteraceae. The transcript has 3 exons.